UGAGUAGGGCGGGACACGUGGUAUCCUGUCUGAAUAUGGGGGGACCAUCCUCCAAGGCUAAAUACUCCUGACUGACCGAUAGUGAACCAGUACCGUGAGGGAAAGGCGAAAAGAACCCCGGCGAGGGGAGUGAAAAAGAACCUGAAACCGUGUACGUACAAGCAGUGGGAGCACGCUUAGGCGUGUGACUGCGUACCUUUUGUAUAAUGGGUCAGCGACUUAUAUUCUGUAGCAAGGUUAACCGAAUAGGGGAGCCGAAGGGAAACCGAGUCUUAACUGGGCGUUAAGUUGCAGGGUAUAGACCCGAAACCCGGUGAUCUAGCCAUGGGCAGGUUGAAGGUUGGGUAACACUAACUGGAGGACCGAACCGACUAAUGUUGAAAAAUUAGCGGAUGACUUGUGGCUGGGGGUGAAAGGCCAAUCAAACCGGGAGAUAGCUGGUUCUCCCCGAAAGCUAUUUAGGUAGCGCCUCGUGAAUUCAUCUCCGGGGGUAGAGCACUGUUUCGGCAAGGGGGUCAUCCCGACUUACCAACCCGAUGCAAACUGCGAAUACCGGAGAAUGUUAUCACGGGAGACACACGGCGGGUGCUAACGUCCGUCGUGAAGAGGGAAACAACCCAGACCGCCAGCUAAGGUCCCAAAGUCAUGGUUAAGUGGGAAACGAUGUGGGAAGGCCCAGACAGCCAGGAUGUUGGCUUAGAAGCAGCCAUCAUUUAAAGAAAGCGUAAUAGCUCACUGGUCGAGUCGGCCUGCGCGGAAGAUGUAACGGGGCUAAACCAUGCACCGAAGCUGCGGCAGCGACGCUGAUGCGUUGUUGGGUA
RNAcentral lists this ribosomal RNA (821 nucleotides) under Escherichia coli. RNAcentral describes it as "partial 23S ribosomal RNA". It matches the Rfam family "Bacterial large subunit ribosomal RNA", at positions 409 to 1230 of the family's 2925-position model. Lineage: Bacteria; Pseudomonadati; Pseudomonadota; Gammaproteobacteria; Enterobacterales; Enterobacteriaceae. The record is from RNAcentral.